AAGGCUCAGUAACACGUGGAUAACCUGCCCUAUGCUCUGGAAUAACCUCGGGAAACUGAGAAUAAUACCGGAUAGAUCACAACGCCUGGAACGGUGUGUGGUUGAAAGAUUACGGCAUAGGAUGGGUCUGCGGCGUAUCAGGUUGUAGGGGGUGUAACGGACCUCCUAGCCAUCGACGCGUACGGGUGUUGGGAGACAUAGCCCGGAGAUGGAUUCUGAGACACGAAUCCAGACCCUACGGGGUGCAGCAGGCGCGAAAACUUCACACUGCAGGAAACUGUGAUGAGGGAACUCCAAGUGCGUGCACUUAGUGUGCGCUUUUGUUGACUAUUAAUCGGUCAAUGAAUAAGGGCUGGGAAAGACCGGUGCCAGCCGCCGCGGUAAUACCGGCAGCUCAAGUGGUCGUCGCUUUUAUUGGGCCUAAAACGUCCGUAGCCUGUUUGGUAAAUCUGUGGGUAAAUCAACCAGCUUAACUGGUUGAAUUCUGCAGAGACUGCCAGACUAGGGACCGGGAGAGGUGUGGGGUACUCUAGGGGUAGGGGUAAAAUCCUGUCAUCCUUAGAGGACCACCAGUUGCGAAGGCGCCACACUGGAACGGAUUCGACGGUCAGGGACGAAGCCUAGGGGCACGAACCGGAUUAGAUACCCGGGUAGUCCUAGGUGUAAACGCUGUGAACUUGGUGUCGGGGAUCCGUCAUGGGUCCCCGGUGCCGGAGUGAAGAUGUUAAGUUCACUGCCUGGGGAGUACGGUCGCAAGGCUGAAACUUAAAGGAAUUGGCGGGGGAGCAC
RNAcentral lists this ribosomal RNA (789 nucleotides) under uncultured archaeon. RNAcentral describes it as "bacterial SSU rRNA". It matches the Rfam family "Archaeal small subunit ribosomal RNA", at positions 85 to 879 of the family's 1478-position model. The record is from RNAcentral.